This 75-nucleotide transfer RNA is filed under the name Bdellovibrio bacteriopascens. RNAcentral describes it as "Bdellovibrio sp. 22V tRNA-Asp". It matches the Rfam family "tRNA". Rfam says of the family: Transfer RNA (tRNA) molecules are approximately 80 nucleotides in length. Their secondary structure includes four short double-helical elements and three loops (D, anti-codon, and T loops). The record is from RNAcentral. Lineage: Bacteria; Pseudomonadati; Bdellovibrionota; Bdellovibrionia; Bdellovibrionales; Pseudobdellovibrionaceae.
GGUACUAUGGUCUAUCGGAGAAGAUAUAGCCCUGUCACGGCUAAGAGCCGGGUUCGAUUCCCGGUAGUACCGCCA